AGAGUUUGAUCCUGGCUCAGGACGAACGCUGGCGGCGCGCUUAACACAUGCAAGUCGAGCGAGAACCAGCCCUUCGGGACUGGGGAAAGCGGCGAACGGGUGAGUAACACGUGAGUAAUCUGCCCUCGGCACCGGGAUAGCCCGUGGAAACGCGGAUUAAUACCGGAUGGCCCGCCGGCCCUUAGGGGCUGUCGGAAAAGGUAGCUUCGGCCUCCGGCCGAGGAGGAGCUCGCGGCCGAUUAGCUAGUUGGCGGGGUAAGAGCCCACCAAGGCGACGAUCGGUAGCUGGUCUGAGAGGACGAUCAGCCACACUGGGACUGAGACACGGCCCAGACUCCUACGGGAGGCAGCAGUGGGGAAUCUUGCGCAAUGGGCGAAAGCCUGACGCAGCGACGCCGCGUGCGGGAAGAAGGCCUUCGGGUUGUAAACCGCUUUCAGGAGGGACGAAGCCACUCGGGUUAAUAGCCCAGAGGGUGACGGUACCUCCAGAAGAAGCCCCGGCUAACUACGUGCCAGCAGCCGCGGUAAUACGUAGGGGGCAAGCGUUGUCCGGAUUUAUUGGGCGUAAAGAGCGUGUAGGCGGCUUGGCAAGUCCGCUGUGAAAACUCGAGGCUCAACCUCGAGACGUCGGUGGAAACUGCCUCGCUAGAGUCCGGA
This 657-nucleotide ribosomal RNA is filed under the name uncultured bacterium. Its description in RNAcentral is "bacterial SSU rRNA". It matches the Rfam family "Bacterial small subunit ribosomal RNA", at positions 8 to 652 of the family's 1533-position model. The record is from RNAcentral.